This 357-nucleotide transfer RNA is filed under the name uncultured Microcystis sp. RNAcentral describes it as "partial 16S-23S ribosomal RNA intergenic spacer". The stretch from base 133 to 206 matches the Rfam family "tRNA". The record is from RNAcentral. Lineage: Bacteria; Bacillati; Cyanobacteriota; Cyanophyceae; Chroococcales; Microcystaceae.
AAGGGAGACCUAAUUCGGGUAGAAGACGAAAAAAUAGUAGUCGAAACCAAGAAUCAACCCCAAAAGGUCGGAACGAGGUAUGUGGCUUUCAAACUAGGUUCUGGGUUCACAAAAGACCUGAAUCAGGAACAAGGGCUAUUAGCUCAGGUGGUUAGAGCGCACCCCUGAUAAGGGUGAGGUCCCUGGUUCGAGUCCAGGAUGGCCCACCUGCACAGGUGGCAAAAACAAGAGAAACGAGGAAUCAGCACCUUAUCUUACUUACAUAGUAAGAGAGAAUGCUGGCUCUGAGUAAAGAGUCCAGAGGAACCUUGAAAACUGCAUAGAGCUAGGUGAAAAAGCCAAAAAAGAAGACCGCAA